GAUGAACGCUGGCGGCGUGCCUAAUACAUGCAAGUCGAGCGAACGAACGAGAAGCUUGCUUCUCUGAUGUUAGCGGCGGACGGGUGAGUAACACGUGGAUAACCUACCUAUAAGACUGGGAUAACUUCGGGAAACCGGAGCUAAUACCGGAUAAUAUUUUGAACCGCAUGGUUCAAAAGUGAAAGACGGUCUUGCUGUCACUUAUAGAUGGAUCCGCGCUGCAUUAGCUAGUUGGUAAGGUAACGGCUUACCAAGGCAACGAUGCAUAGCCGACCUGAGAGGGUGAUCGGCCACACUGGAACUGAGACACGGUCCAGACUCCUACGGGAGGCAGCAGUAGGGAAUCUUCCGCAAUGGGCGAAAGCCUGACGGAGCAACGCCGCGUGAGUGAUGAAGGUCUUCGGAUCGUAAAACUCUGUUAUUAGGGAAGAACAUAUGUGUAAGUAACUGCGCACAUCUUGACGGUACCUAAUCAGAAAGCCACGGCUAACUACGUG
Molecule: ribosomal RNA, 497 nt
Filed under: uncultured bacterium
Lineage: Bacteria
Description: partial 16S ribosomal RNA
Rfam family: Bacterial small subunit ribosomal RNA
Source: RNAcentral